Zingiber officinale is the source of this 904-nucleotide long non-coding RNA. RefSeq lists it as uncharacterized. The transcript has 4 exons. The record is from RefSeq and is a predicted model, not a curated record. NCBI's taxonomy places the organism in Eukaryota, Viridiplantae, Streptophyta, Magnoliopsida, Zingiberales, Zingiberaceae.
CCUGAGUACUUAAUUAAGCCCUAAUUCCCCGAUUUCCUCCUCCUCCUCCUUCGCGCGAGUUUCUUUUCUCCCGAGCCUCCCUCUCGAUUUCUCCUCGCCUAAUCGCCGGCCGUCGCGAGCUCAGUGCCGGCAAUGAUCUCCUCCUCCGGCAUGUCUCAUCACCAGUAAACCCUCUGGAAUACCAAGUACACUGAAAAACCCUUUCUCUCUCACGCGAACACCCGACGCCGACGAAGAAUGACUUCCUCCACUGCGAUCGUGUCCUCGCCGAGUUGUCUGAGGAAGUAUCGCUGUAUCUCGACGGUACCGGUCAUCUCCGGAUGAGCGAUUGCAUCUUCGACGGUUUCUUGCUCGUCAUCGGCGGUUUCUCGACUUCUAGGGCAUGUCAGGGCUAGGGCUCGGCUGAUUGAGCCUUUCUCAGUUCUUCUCUUCGAUCUGAUCAUUGGAGAGAGUUACGGAUCAUCACCAGCUGGAGUGGAUCGUGCGACACCAUUGGAGGCGAUCGGUUAAGGAGGCUUUGGAUUCACAUAAUGGUGGAAUGUUCCUUUACCGUUCGCUGCCCUCUCCAAUUCUUGCGGCUAGGUUCUUUGGUAGCUGUUGGGAGAAGAGGUAAGGGUCUGUUGAGGUAAGGUUUGAUCUGUUUGUUAAUGGUUCGGCUAUUCUUAGCUGUACAAACUAAGCUAUGGAUUGAUUCUUGGAAGAAUAGGUGUGUGUGUGCUCUUGUAGCUUAGGGACAGAGAUCUUGGUGCUGUGAGCUACUGGAUUUGGUUGCCUUAUCUCAAGGACUUGGAUUCGGGAUGAGUGUCUCGACGUGGUAUUUCUGGACAUGAUCUACGAAUAAAGGUAGAUGGUUGGAGUGUUGCUUGGAGUAUCCUGUUUGCCGGGUCCUACGUCACAUCCGAAG